Non-coding RNA from Leptonychotes weddellii (Weddell seal), 215 nucleotides. NCBI's taxonomy places the organism in Eukaryota, Metazoa, Chordata, Mammalia, Carnivora, Phocidae. The record is from RefSeq and is a predicted model, not a curated record.
CCCAUCGGUUGCCGGGAGACGGCGCAGCCUCGGCGGGGCGGGAGCCGUCUGUCUGCAGGCCGCGGCCGGUCUCGACCACCAGAGCCAUGGCGCCCAAGAAGAAAGGGAAGAAAGGAAAAACCAAAGGUACCCCGAUUGUUGAUGGGCUUGCUCCGGAGGACAUGAGCAAGGAGCAGAGAGAGAGAGCAAGAGAGAGAGCACAAGCAAGGGGAGCA